This is a long non-coding RNA of Trichoplusia ni (cabbage looper), 987 nucleotides long. RefSeq lists it as uncharacterized. NCBI's taxonomy places the organism in Eukaryota, Metazoa, Arthropoda, Insecta, Lepidoptera, Noctuidae. The transcript has 2 exons. The record is from RefSeq and is a predicted model, not a curated record.
UAGAACAUUCAAAUAAUGACAUAGUUACGAACUGUCAAUCAACAACUUGUCAUGGCUUAAAUUUUGUGUGAAAAUUUGGGAUUUAUAGAAACCCGGUAAAAUUAUGUGUGCUUUCAUUUUAUCCCUCAGUUCGGAUAGCAGCAUAACAGAGGCUUGAUCGGUCGCCUCCUAUUUCCUUUUGGAUGCACACAUUGUCACCUGAUUCUUGGGAAAUUCUGUUUUAAGAACAGCGUGGGGCGUCUGGUAUCAAAAGUGCACCUCACAAAGGCAUUUCCCGCAUCCGCUCGCCAACACAUUGCUCUGAGUCUUUCGAAGGAGCCCAGCAUCGCAGCGCCGCUGUCGCCAACCACCGUCGACGUGAACAAGCAAGGUGGCUGCCGUAGCCAGGACUUGAAAAAUGAUUUGCCUCUCUUUGUACGCCCUGAUCGCUUCUGCCACGAUCCUAGCGUGCGUUCCAGUCUGCUACAGACAGUUUGAGAUGCACAAGUUUGUCAAGUGCCUUCGGAAAUAGGAAUAAUGAUAAUUUGCAUGAGUUGCAUGACGGCGAUCAUCGCGGUUGGUUGUAUAGCCUGUGGCCCUGUAGUAUUGGACGCGUUGUGGCCUAAGUGUCCGAGCAGAAACAAGAAGGACGUACCGAUGCCAUGCAAGAGCCCCUGCUGCCCGAAGCGAUCUCACGCAAGCUGAGAAAUUAAUUUGUAUUGUAAGAUGUAUUAAAUAUUUAUAUCCGCUAUGAUUUUAUGUUUGUAAUUUCAACUUUGUUCUUGGAUCGAUUGUAACAUCUUAUUGAACACAUGUAUUGGCAGAAGAUAUAGCUGUAAAUAGAUUCCAUACUCAUAAAAUAUCCAUUACUUAUAAUGACUGAUUUGUUUAUUUGAGAGUGUAAAAAAUAAGCACUAUAUAUUUAGAAUUUUACUUUUAUGAACUUUGUGUACAAAAAUAGAUAAAUAAAAACGUCGUGCAUUUACCUAAUAAAACUGGUGGGCUAAA